UACGUAGGGUGCGAGCGUUGUCCGGAAUUAUUGGGCGUAAAGAGCUUGUAGGCGGUUUGUCGCGUCUGCUGUGAAAAUCCGGGGCUCAACCCCGGACUUGCAGUGGGUACGGGCAGACUAGAGUGUGGUAGGGGGAGACUGGAAUUCCUGGUGUAGCGGUGAAAUGCGCAGAUAUCAGGAGGAACACCGAUGGCGAAGGCAGGUCUCUGGGGCCACUACUACGCUGAGAAGCGAAAGCAUGGGGAGCGAACAGG
Molecule: ribosomal RNA, 254 nt
Filed under: uncultured bacterium
Lineage: Bacteria
Description: partial 16S ribosomal RNA
Rfam family: Bacterial small subunit ribosomal RNA
Source: RNAcentral